This 110-nucleotide non-coding RNA is filed under the name unclassified sequences. The record is from Rfam.
GUUACCACUGAGCGGUGGCUGUCGUGAGGUACUGGGGAGUACUGCUGACCGGCGGGUAUCGAGUCUGGGCUACAGCCAAGGGAAUGGGCCUGGACGUUUCAGUGAAGGAG